Long non-coding RNA from Medicago truncatula (barrel medic), 2044 nucleotides. RefSeq lists it as uncharacterized. Lineage: Eukaryota; Viridiplantae; Streptophyta; Magnoliopsida; Fabales; Fabaceae. The record is from RefSeq and is a predicted model, not a curated record. The transcript has 2 exons.
UCAAACUUCAUGCAAAGGAGUUUAUUUUCGUUCCAAAAACUUGUCUACUAGAUAACACAUCGGUUCACAUAUAGGAUAAUAAGUUGUUGAUUUGAAUGACGUAUUUUUUUUUAUUCAGAUUUGAAUGAUGAUGUCACUCACUUUUACUUGUAUUAAAAAUCCCAUUUUAUUUUACUUUUUCUCCUAGAUUUUCAUCACGCGUUUAUUUCUUUUUACAUUUUAACUUCAAUCACGCCUUUUCUUACACUUCAAAAUAAGUCUUGCAACCUUAAACCUAUCAACUAGGAACUCUUUACGGAUCUAACUUGAGUUCUAGAUUGAUUUUUCGAGUUCAUUUGCUAAAGGGAUAUAUUUCCACGUCAACGCCCUAAGAAUUCAUAUCAACGGAUUGUAAUUCAAAUCUAAUCAUAGAUCUAUAAUUCAAAUUCUUAAUAAAAGUGAACUCCUAAGAUAAUGAUAUUAUCUACAAUGACCAACACCUUUUAUGCAUUAUUUGAAACUUGGAUCUUUUGUGCUGAUGGCUAGCUGUUGGAACAUGUCUUGAUUCCCUUUAGAGGGAAAUUUAUACAAAUCUUGGCACCAGAUUAAAAGAGGGAACCCUUCAAAGAUGAAUCAAUGUAAGUUUUUUUUCCUGUUCAAUUUUAAAUUGGAAACUUAACUUCUUACGACUUUGCCAAUACUUUUUCCUCUAUCGUAUUUUCUUUCAAGCUUUUUGUUGAUGUUGUUAAAUCGAUACUAAAAUGUUAAUCUUGCGACGGAGUUGGUAAUUUCCUUAGUAAUUUAAUCAUGAUGAAUCAACUACAAAACCCCACCAUAUAACUAUGUUGUGUUGAAUGAUUCUGCUUAUGGCUACUUGAUUAUUGUAAAUUGAAGUUUCACAUUUAUGCUACAUUGGCUGGUUAGUACUUUGUUUUUAUUGGCUUAGUUUUGUGGCUAAUCUGGUACAUGGUUUGGAUCUAUUCUCCGUUUUUUUUUUUGUGCGGAAUUUGCAGCUAUCUUUUGUUGAACUUCUGUUGUUUUGUGUUCUUUAAACUAUUAUGAUGAUCAUUAUGCAUCUGCUACUAGUUUGAAGGAUCCAUAUCCCUGAGUAUGUUGCACAAUGCUUCUGCUACCACUAUAUGCAUGAGAAUGUGUGUGUUAAUCAUCAUCAAAAAAGCAGAUUGUUAAGGUAUUUUAUUUUCAAUUACAGAAUGUACGAGAAGGUGUGUAAUUGAACUUUACAAAUAACAUUUUGAGGUUAAUUUCAUAUUAGAUUGAGUAUUUGUAUUAAUAGUUUAUAUUUAGAUGGCAACUAUAGUCAACAAUUUAGUUAAUGAAGUCGUCGAGUUGCUUAAGCAAUAUGUUUUGUACUUUAUUGUGAAACAACUAAUCUUGUAUGUAAAUGAUGCAGGCGGAAUUCUAGAUAUGAUAAGAAACAAUUUUUGUGAUUUUUGUUUGAUUACUUUGCAAUUUUAUUUAAUUUAAAACUUGCAACUUUUAUAUGCUUAUAUUACUGCAGAAAAUUCAAGUUGGUGACCGUUGAGCGAUAUAUUCAAUCUUUGUUGUUGUUUAUCCCAACAAAAUUAGCUAAAAUUGUUUUCUAGAGAAUGGUUGCGAAUUAGUUACUAAACGGUAACACUUUUAAAGUGUUACGAAUACUACUCUCAGGGUAGCACUUUUUAUCAACUCACUUGGGAUAUGGUCUGAUGAUGUUAGCUUUGAACCUUGGAAUGAGACCUUUGUAUGUGCUCUUCUCAUGUCUCAGGCCUUUGAUUUAUGAUGGGAAUUGACUCCCCAACAAGAUUUGAGGCGCCACAAGAGUGAUGAUUCAUUUGUUGAAGAUAAUAACUGUUCUGGUGAUGGGUCUACUGCAUUAAAAUAUUACUGCUAUAUUAUUUGCAAUUUUUACGGAGGCUCACAAAUUUAUACUCACAAAUCCUAUGCAUUUCAAGGAAUUUACAGUUUUUUUUCCUUCAAGUUUUGUACCUGUUAAAAGUAUGAGAAGGCAAAGAAAUCAUCAAAUGAUAGAGUGAAUAUGAAAGCAAUUCACACUGGAUUAUUGUCA